RNAcentral lists this ribosomal RNA (1462 nucleotides) under metagenome. RNAcentral's name for it is "bacterial LSU rRNA". It matches the Rfam family "Bacterial large subunit ribosomal RNA", at positions 1439 to 2925 of the family's 2925-position model. The record is from RNAcentral.
CUGUACUGCGGUAUGACAGAACUGUGGGGACACGUAAGGAAAGCGGAAGCCGGGAAUGGAGAGCCCGGUGCAAGCGGGGUACCAGCCACUUUGGCAAAUCCGGGUGGCAAUGGGAAGCCGUGAUGCGGAGUGAAAUAAAGUAACGAAGUCCGUGAGCCAUGCGUCAAGAAAAGCCGCUAUUGUUUAUACCGUACCCGUACCGUAAACCGACACAGGUGGAUGAGGAGAGAAUCCUAAGGCCGGCGGAAAAAGCAUUGUCAAGGAACUCGGCAAAAUGGCCCCGUAACUUAGGGAUAAGGGGUGCCUCAGAAAUGAGGCCGCAGAGAAUAGGCCCAAGCAACUGUUUAGCAAAAACACAGGUCUAUGCGAAACCGAAAGGUGAGGUAUAUGGGCUGACGCCUGCCCGGUGCUGGAAGGUUAAGAGGAGAGGUUAGCGCAAGCGAAGCUUUGAAUUUAAGCCCCAGUAAACGGCGGCCGUAACAAUAACGGUCCUAAGGUAGCGAAAUUCCUUGUCGGGUAAGUUCCGACCCGCACGAAAGGCGUAAUGAUUUGAGCGCUGUCUCGACAAUGCAUCCGGUGAAAUUGAAGUACCAGUGAAGAUGCUGGUUACCUGCGCCAGGACGGAAAGACCCCAUGGAGCUUUACUCCAGUUUGGUACUGGGACUCGGUAUUGCAUGUACAGGAUAGGUGGGAGGCUAGGAGAUAGUAACGCCAGUUAUUAUGGAGCCGCUGUUGGGAUACCACCCUUGCAGUAUUGGGUUUCUAACCAGCCGCCGUGACCCGGCGGUGGGACAAUGCCAGACGGGGAGUUUGACUGGGGCGGUCGCCUCCGAAAGGGUAUCGGAGGCGCCCAAAGGUUCCCUCAGAAUGGACGGAAACCAUUCGAAGAGUGCAAAGGCAGAAGGGAGCUUGACUGCGACACCGACGGGUGGAGCAGGUACGAAAGUAGGGCUUAGUGAUCCGGUGGUAUUAAGUGGGAAUGCCAUCGCUCAACGGAUAAAAGCUACCCUGGGAUAACAGGCUUAUCACUCCCAAGAGUUCACAUCGACGGAGUGGUUUGGCGCCUCGAUGUCGGCUCAUCGCAUCCUGGGGCUGUAGUAGGUCCCAAGGGUUGGGCUGUUCGCCCAUUAAAGCGGUACGCGAGCUGGGUUCAGAACGUCGUGAGACAGUUCGGUCCCUAUCCGGCGUGGGCGUAGGAUAUCUGAGAGGAGCUGUCCUUAGUACGAGAGGACCGGGAUGGACGGGCCGCUGGUGCAUCGGUUAGACUGCCAAGUCUACGGCCGAGUAGCCAAGCCCGGAAGGGAUAAACGCUGAAGGCAUCUAAGCGUGAAGCCCCCCUUAAGAUGAGAUAUCCCAUUCGAAAGAAGUAAACCCCCUUGAAGACGACGAGGUAGAUAGGGCAGAGGUGGAAGUGCAGUAAUGCAUGGAGCUGACUGUUACUAAUCGGGUGAGGGCUUGACCG